This 310-nucleotide ribosomal RNA is filed under the name uncultured eukaryote. RNAcentral describes it as "partial 18S ribosomal RNA". It matches the Rfam family "Eukaryotic small subunit ribosomal RNA", at positions 1470 to 1796 of the family's 1831-position model. The record is from RNAcentral.
CCCUUAGAUGUUCUGGGCUGCACGCGUGCUACACUGAUUACUUCAACAAGUGUUUUAACUGGAGAGUUCGCGUAAUCCUGAAAUGUUAUCGUGAUGGGAGUAGAGUAUUGUAUUUGUUAAUCUUUAACGAGGAAUUCCUAGUAAGUGUAGGUUUAUAAGUUGUUCUGAUUACGUCCCUGCCCUUUGUACACACCGCCCGUUGCUCCUACCGAUUGAUUGAUCCGGUGAAUUACAUAGAAUUUUGCGUUUUACAUGACGGAAGAUGAAGUGUUUUAAACCUUAUCAUUUAGAGGAAGGAGAAGUCGUAACA